This 2812-nucleotide long non-coding RNA is filed under the name Triticum aestivum (bread wheat). Its description in RNAcentral is "long non-coding RNA (TAES_LNC005581)". Lineage: Eukaryota; Viridiplantae; Streptophyta; Magnoliopsida; Poales; Poaceae. The record is from RNAcentral.
UUGCUUUUAUUCAUCACCAUCACAAGUUCAUGCAACGCUCAAUUUUCUCUUACACUAAAUGAUCUCACAAUUUUAGAAGCAAUUUUUAUUGCCUUUUUGCACCGAUGACAAUUGUGGCACCCCGACUCAGAGAAAACCAGAACGCCCCAUAUUCCAGCCCAGAGAUCGAGGAGAAGUCUUCUUUAAUACGGCACUGCUUAGCAUAGAACAAACUAGCUUUCUAUUAUUACACGAAUAUGAUUACAAGGUCUCCGAUAUUACAAUGAAUAACAUCGGCACGGCAACACUACGCCAUCCUCAGUUGCUCUAUGCAAGCAGCAGAACAACUCGAAGCAGCGGAAUAACUCUAACAGCGGAAAAACUACUGGCAGCGGAACAACGACGGCGGUGGUGAACUCCAAUCCGCAGGGACUCUGGCUGGAACGCUUAUCCUAGCUUGCAAACAAAGAAUCCACGACAAACAAGCAUGCAAUCCAGGCACGACCUGCAAGCUGGCAUGCCACGCCAGGUCAGUACAUUGAAUGUACUUGCAAGCUCACAAUAAACCAGAAGCAUUCAAGACAAAUAACAGCAUGGAAAUUACAGGUUAAGCAGGAAUUAACAUGAGAUCCUCAUAAUAACAUGACAUGAACAACAUGACAUACAAAGUAGUACUCCCAAAAUAAUACCAACUACCAUCAUGAAAAUAAUCAUAAUAGCCACUAAGAAUCCAAAGGCAACAUGAACAUGAUACCGCUAGAACAAUAUGAGCAUGGCAUGAACAUAUGAAUCUGAUGAUACUAGCAUCCAACAUGAUAACACUACAUGCACCAAUUAUUCUGCUCGGGUUAUCUCGUAACCAUCACACGCAGCACUUACCAACCUCGGACAUCACACGAUCAUCUCAGGAUCAAAUCAAGCUUGGUAUAAACAAUACCGUAGUAAUCAUUAAAUGACCACAAGGAGCUUGAUCUUUACCCAUGAUUCUCGCACAACAUCACGAAUAUCAAACAACUCGGUAUCCUCGAUACCACCAUGAUCCUUCCGACGAUCACAACCACGACCAACACUUGGUCUCAAACCGUGAUCCUUACGGCGAUCACAACCACGACCAAUAUUUGGCUCAUGAUCCUUACGACGAUCACAACCACGACCAAUAUUUUGCCCGUGAUCCUUACAGCGAUCACAACCAAUUUAUCUCAUCUUCGAAUCGUGGUUGUUAUUAAUCAAGUUAUUAUUAAUAUUGUUGACUCACGGUGGGAUCUACACGAACUGGGCCCUUAUCCGUGGGCGCGGCUACCGAUAGAUUAAUAUACACUCUGUAGAGGUCAGCACACUGUACCCACACCACGGAACCCAUGGCUUCGCACUCCCAUUCGGGUGGACCAACGACGUUCCGACAAAACUUAUCUAUUGUCAUGACACUCUCCCGGCCACUUCGACCCACUGCCAACUGGGUUAGUCCUGGGUGGCCCCGUGUCUACGAAAGACACCCCGACCACCGUCGUGGUCAAACUCCCUCACGGGGAAAACUCCCUCACGGGGACCGGAUCCAUAAAAACAAUGGGCACACAAGGUUAUGUCUGCUUACCGGGCCAGGGUACGCACGCCCAUAACCUUCCCUAGUUGGAGGCACCGGCGGGAUGCAUGACAAUAGACCCAGUUAGGACCUUACCCAUACGGUAAGCGUGGUUGCACUGGUCAGUUUCGAUCUGGCGGCACCAUGACUCAGCCAACAGUUGUUCAAGUUCAAUUAAAUCCGAUUAAACUUGAAUGCAAUAUGCUGAGCCAUGAUAAAAUAACAUGAUGCAUUUACAAAGCAUGAGCAUGAUAUCAACAUAAGCACAGGAAGCAACACAACUGUCCAUCAUAUCAACUAUGAAAUAAUCUCAAACUGAACAUGGCAUAAUGACGAGCAUAAAUAUUACAAGUGCAACACUACUCAUAGUAUAACAUAACAUGACCACUAGCAUUAACCAUAAAUAACAUGCAAGAACUUAUCAAUAACAUCACCGAGUUACACUUAACCAACUAACAGCAACUGAACAAUGCCUAUUAACAAUACUCGGUAACCGACGUUAGUCAUGCACCGAAGAGCAUGACCAACCCAACAUGUACUACUAUCAAGCAUGGAAAUAUGAAAGUAAUACUAACAACUAGCAGGGCAUGAUAACCAGGUGCAUAACAACAUAGCAAACAAGUAGGCACUAACCCAGAAACAUUACUGAAACAACGAUAACCAUCUUUUAAACAAGCAAUCAUUUAAUAAAUAUUCAAGUUUAAAACCAUAGCUACUGCAUGACUAUCAUGCAAGUAGGUAUUGUGGCUUGCCUGGGGAUGAAGAAUACUCCGGGAAGAAGUGCGGUGAAGCCGCGGAAAGAUUUGCCGAAAACAGUUCUCUCUCGGAGGGGCUGUUUACGUGCAAGGGAAAAAAGGUAAUUUUCACAGUGUCAAACCAUAGUGAAAAUGAAAUCAACAGAACGGGUUCGACGAGACGAAGAAAUGGGCUUUGGAAUCACCUCAUUUGGAGUUGUGGUUAAAAAGAUAUGAGGUGUUUUCUGCCAGGGACCCAUCUGUAAUGAAAAACUUCAAAAUCUGGGCCUGGACAGAAAAGCAGAAAGCGCAAUCGGCGGAAUACGCUUUCACUGAACUGAAAAUGCAUUCGGGGCUGAAGAAGAACGGAAAUACGCUUCCUCGGAAAGAAAACGUACUCGCAGGAAAAUACACUUUCUAAAGAUGAAAACAUACUUACCGGAUGUACGCUUCCACUUAUCCAGUCAGCAGGGCGGGGCCGCGCUGCUGUGCGGCUGACAGGCGGGUCCCACAGGCUGUG